Molecule: ribosomal RNA, 495 nt
Filed under: uncultured bacterium
Lineage: Bacteria
Description: partial 16S ribosomal RNA
Rfam family: Bacterial small subunit ribosomal RNA
Source: RNAcentral
GACGAACGCUGGCGGCGUGCCUAAUACAUGCAAGUAGAACGCUGAAGGAGGAGCUUGCUUCUCUGGAUGAGUUGCGAACGGGUGAGUAACGCGUAGGUAACCUGCCUGGUAGUGGGGGAUAACUAUUGGAAACGAUAGCUAAUACCGCAUAAUAGCAGUUGUUGCAUGAUAACUGUUUGAAAGGUGCAAUUGCACCGCUACCAGAUGGACCUGCGUUGUAUUAGCUAGUUGGUGGGGUAACGGCUCACCAAGGCGACGAUACAUAGCCGACCUGAGAGGGUGAUCGGCCACACUGGGACUGAGACACGGCCCAGACUCCUACGGGAGGCAGCAGUAGGGAAUCUUCGGCAAUGGACGGAAGUCUGACCGAGCAACGCCGCGUGAGUGAAGAAGGUUUUCGGAUCGUAAAGCUCUGUUGUAAGAGAAGAACGAGUGUGAGAGUGGAAAGUUCACACUGUGACGGUAUCUUAACAGAAAGGGACGGCUAACUACGUG